Molecule: transfer RNA, 88 nt
Filed under: Bacteriophage sp.
Description: tRNA-Ser
Rfam family: tRNA
About the family: Transfer RNA (tRNA) molecules are approximately 80 nucleotides in length.
Source: RNAcentral
GGAGAAAUGGCUGAGCGGUCUAAAGCGGCACCCUGCUAAGGUGUUAGUCAUGUUAUGUGGCUCGAAGGUUCGAAUCCUUCUUUCUCCG